RNAcentral lists this transfer-messenger RNA (366 nucleotides) under Cellulomonas aerilata. It matches the Rfam family "transfer-messenger RNA". Rfam says of the family: Bacterial tmRNA, also known as 10Sa RNA or SsrA, is named for its dual tRNA and mRNA-like properties. Its role is to liberate the mRNA from a stalled ribosome. To accomplish this part of the tmRNA is used as a reading frame that ends in a translation stop signal. Lineage: Bacteria; Bacillati; Actinomycetota; Actinomycetes; Micrococcales; Cellulomonadaceae. The record is from RNAcentral.
GGGGGUGAUCGGUUUCGACGGUGAUCGUCGAUCCAGGAGAAGCGUGCCGAGGACGCAGGGUUAUCUCGUAAACGAUCCUUGCAAACCAAUAGGUGCCGAUACCAAUCGCGCCGACUUCGCUCUCGCCGCCUGAGCGAGUACCGAAGUCCGUCAGCCUGAGCUCGCUCUCGUCUCAGUAGCUGGCGUCAUCUAGAGAGCCACUGCUCCCAGCAUUCGUCGGUGAUGCUGGGGGGACUCUUAGCCGACUGGGCCCGUCCAUGACAUGUCUGCUAGAUCAUGGGGGCCGAGAAAAUCGCAGCAGACUGCGCACGGAGAAGUCCUGGUUCACAGUCAUCGGACGCGGGUUCGAUUCCCGCCACCUCCACC